CCUACUGGAGGCAUCAUUGAGGCAUCUUGGUCAAUGGGCGCAGGCCUGAACCAGCCAAGUCGCGUGAGGGAAGACUGCCCUAUGGGUUGUAAACCUCUUUUCUCCUUUCCUCCUCAUGACUACGUGUAGUCAGAUGCCCGUACCUUAUGAAUAAGCAUCGGCUAACUCCGUGCCAGCAGCCGCGGUAAUACGGAGGAUGCGAGCGUUAUCCGGAUUUAUUGGGUUUAAAGGGUGCGUAGGCGGUAUUUUAAGUUAGUGGUAAAACGUCGGGGCUUCACCUUGAUUGGCCAUUAAAACUGGAGUACUAGAGUACAGACGAGGUAGGCGGAAUAAGUUAAGUAGCGGUGAAAUGCUUAGAUAUAACUUAGAACCCCGAUAGCGAAGGCAGCUUACCAGACUGUUACUGACGCUGAAGCACGAGAGCGUGGGUAGCGAACAGGAUUAGAUACCCUGGUAGUC
Molecule: ribosomal RNA, 459 nt
Filed under: uncultured bacterium
Lineage: Bacteria
Description: partial 16S ribosomal RNA
Rfam family: Bacterial small subunit ribosomal RNA
Source: RNAcentral